Molecule: ribosomal RNA, 493 nt
Filed under: uncultured bacterium
Lineage: Bacteria
Description: partial 16S ribosomal RNA
Rfam family: Bacterial small subunit ribosomal RNA
Source: RNAcentral
AUUGAACGCUGGCGGCAUGCUUUACACAUGCAAGUCGAACGGUAACAGGUUAAGCUGACGAGUGGCGAACGGGUGAGUAAUGCAUCGGAACGUGCCCGAUCGUGGGGGAUAACGCAGCGAAAGUUACGCUAAUACCGCAUAUUCUCUGAGGAGGAAAGCAGGGGACCUUCGGGCCUUGCGCUAAUAGAGCGGCUGAUAUCAGAUUAGCUAGUUGGUGAGGUAAAGGCUCACCAAGGCGACGAUCUGUAGCGGGUCUGAGAGGAUGAUCCGCCACACUGGAACUGAGACACGGUCCAGACUCCUACGGGAGGCAGCAGUGGGGAAUUUUGGACAAUGGGGGCAACCCUGACCCAGCCAUGCCGCGUGAGUGAAGAAGGCCUUCGGGUUGUAAAGCUCUUUCGGCCGGGAAAAAAUCGCAUGGGUUAAUACCCUGUGUGGAUGAUGGUACCGGAAUAAGAAGCACCGGCUAACUACGUGCCAGCCGCCGCUGUAA